Molecule: ribosomal RNA, 1100 nt
Filed under: uncultured bacterium
Lineage: Bacteria
Description: bacterial SSU rRNA
Rfam family: Bacterial small subunit ribosomal RNA
Source: RNAcentral
CCGGGGGGGGAGAAAAGAGCCCUUUGGGGUUUAAAACCCGUUUUCAACCAGGGAAAAAAAUUGGCCGGUCCCUUCAAGAAAAACCCCCGGCCAAAUUAGGGCCAAGCAGCCGGGGUAAUACGUAGGGGGCAAGCUUUGUCCGGAUUUAUUGGGCGUAAAGGGCUCGUAGGCGGUUUGACAAGUCGGUCGUGAAAGCCCGGGGCUCAACCCCGGGACGCCGGUCGAAACUGUCAUGACUAGGGUCCGGUAGAGGUGAGUGGAAUUCUCGGUGUAGCGGUGAAAUGCGCAGAUAUCGAGAGGAACCCCAGUUGCGAAGGCGGCUCACUGGGCCGGUACCGACGCUGAGGAGCGAAAGCGUGGGGAGCAAACAGGAUUAGAUACCCUGGUAGUCCACGCCGUAAACGUUGAACACUAGGUGUGGCGGACUUAUCCACGUCCGCCGUGCCGCAGCUAACGCAUUAAGUGUUCCGCCUGGGGAGUACGGCCGCAAGGCUAAAACUCAAAGGAAUUGACGGGGCCCCGCACAAGCGGCGGAGCAUGCGGCUUAAUUCGAUGCAACCCGAAGAACCUUACCUGGACUUGACAUCAUGGGUCUACCUUCAGAAAUGUUGGGUGCUUUGCGCUCAUGACAGGUGGUGCAUGGCUGUCGUCAGCUCGUGUCGUGAGAUGUUGGGUUAAGUCCCGCAACGAGCGCAACCCCCGUCCUAUGUUGCCAGCACGUAAUGGUGGGGACUCAUAGGAGACUGCCGGGGACAACUCGGAGGAAGGCGGGGACGACGUCAAGUCAUCAUGCCCCUUAUGUUCAGGGCUGCACGCAUGCUACGAUGGGCUGUACAACGGGCUGCGAUCCAGCGAUGGUGAGCGAAUCCCUCAAAACAGUCCUCAGUUCGGAUUGGAGUCUGCAACUCGACUCCAUGAAGCCGGAGUCGCUAGUAAUCGCGAAUCAGCAAAGUCGCGGUGAAUACGUUCUCGGGGCUUGUACACACCGCCCGUCACAUCACGGAAGUCGGUAACACCCGAAGUCAGUGGCCUAACCCUAGGGAAGGAGCUGCCGAAGGUGGGAUCGGUGACUGGGAUGAAGUCGUAACAAGGUAACCGUA